RNAcentral lists this long non-coding RNA (227 nucleotides) under Phoenix dactylifera (date palm). Its description in RNAcentral is "long non-coding RNA (PDAC_LNC015461)". Lineage: Eukaryota; Viridiplantae; Streptophyta; Magnoliopsida; Arecales; Arecaceae. The record is from RNAcentral.
AGCUUUUAUACAAAAUCAGAUUCUGAAUUUCAUAAAGAUUUUCAAUAGAGGCUUUCAAAGUCAUAAUUUGAGAUAUGUAUCUUCCACAUUGUAGCUCAUCUUAAAUCAUUACGAUUGAAAACACAUAUUUCAAACAUAUAAGAGCAUAUUCAGAAUAUUUGUAUUUAUGUUGAGUUUUGGUAUAAAUUAGAACAUUAUAUACCAAGGUUAGGCAAGUUGAAAGAUAA